RNAcentral lists this ribosomal RNA (400 nucleotides) under uncultured Protaspa. Its description in RNAcentral is "partial small subunit ribosomal RNA". It matches the Rfam family "Eukaryotic small subunit ribosomal RNA", at positions 30 to 432 of the family's 1831-position model. The record is from RNAcentral. Lineage: Eukaryota; Cercozoa; Thecofilosea; Cryomonadida.
GCUUGUCUCAAAGAUUAAGCCAUGCAAGUCUAUGUAUAAAUCUUUAUACGGUGAAACUGCGAAUGGCUCAUUAUAUCAGUUAUCGUUUAUUUGAUAAUCACUGCUACUUGGAUAACUGUAGUAAUUCUAGAGCUAAUACAUGCGUCAAUGCCCGACUUUGGAAGGGCUGUGUUUAUUAGAUCCAAAACCAAUGCGGGGCAACCCGGUUUUGUGGUGAAUCAUAGUAACUUUUCGGAUCGCAUAGCUUCACGCUGGCGAUAGUUCAUUCAAAUUUCUGCCCUAUCAGCUUUCGACGGUAGUGUAGUGGACUACCGUGGCGUUAACGGGUGACGGAGAAUUAGGGUUCGAUUCCGGAGAGGGAGCCUGAGAAACGGCUACCACAUCCAAGGAAGGCAGCAGG